GUACCUGCGACACAUGGCGCGAGGGAAUGGUAAUUAAGAGCGAUUGGGGCAGACGUGUUGUGAGAUAUUGAGAUUUUACGCGUAUCUUGAUAAAUGGUUUGAUUGGUUUAAAGGAGCAAAUAGGUUAGAAUAUAGUGUAUAGGGCAAAGGAGGCACGAUGAAUUGAGAAUGAAAAAUCUUUGAAUGGAAAACUUCUUUCAGUAGAUUUAGCGAUUAAUUUAGCUUGUCUUGAUUGUUUGUCGAUGUUAUAAUAUCUUGAUAUGUAGAUAUAUGGUUCGGUUGGUAAAGAGGUUAAGAAAUGAAGAGGUUAGAAUACAGAGUCUUGUGCAAAAGGAAUAAGUUGUUUAUUGAUGCAAUCAGUUUAAGUGCUCGGCUUUUUCGUAUAUUUGUUAGAAAAUGAGGAGAACACUGUAAAUUGUAAAGAAAUGGAAGAACAUCGUUUUGAAAGGUUAAUAAGAGGUAUGUUCUUUUUAUGAAAGAUGAAACAUUAUGUCCUAUAAUAUUUGUUUCUUGUAAUUGUUGUAUGAAUUUUAUGUGUUUAACCAACGUGACAUAAUUUAAAUUAAUAAUGAUCCUUCUUUAGGAAAAGAACUGGAAUUCAAUUGAUUAAUGCACCUGUGGGAUUGAUCAAUCAAGUUAGCUUCCAUAUCGAUAACGUGAUCAAGGAGUGUCAAUCGAUCGACGCCUCCUGGAAAUGCUUUUUGAUCAAACAGAACUUGAUAUGCUUCGAUUUAUUCGAUAUGCAAUAUCGAAUAUCUCUUUGAUUUCUGUGACGGUGAAUCUGAUAAAGAUGCACGCGCAUAAAUAAUUUCGAUGCUUGAGAAUGAUUGCUUCAAGAAUUCGCCGUGUCCCACAAUAAAAAGAAAGAUAAACGAAUACAACAUGAUUAUGAAAUUUCCUAUAUCGAUUGUGAGGAAAAUAAAAAUAAAAGUUCGAAUUACACAAGUAAAUUUUUAAUGGAAGGGUUAGCAAGUUUUACGAGAUGAAUCGAAGACCUUAAACGUUUUAUGUAUCGGCGAUCACGAUGGUCGAUAUUCAUCAUUCAUGAAUAAUUCAGAAAUGAAAUGCUUACAGUUACACGGGACACGUGACGGACUCCUCCCUUGGACAAAACACUGGAAUGGGUCUGCAGUGUUUUAUUUCGCUUACGGGAUCGACGUUUGACCCGAAUCUUUUCUCAUUUAUAUUUCGUUUCUACUUCUAAUGUUUUUAUUAUGUAAAUAACUAAUUGUAAGUAGGAGAAAAGAAGAAUAAUAAUAUAGUAGCAAUGGAAAUACAGAUCACAUCAUGAACAUCAUGGUCACAUUACCGCAAAUCUAAUUUCUGUAACUUAACCUAAAAAAAAAUGGACAUUUCAACCACCACAUACAAGAAUAUAUAAUCGAUAAAUAUCAUUAGAUAUAUCUUGAGUUAAAAAUAAACUCUAACGGCCAGAGUACAAAGAUAAAAUCGAGGGACCAUAGUUAUGUCAGUAUUCUAAGCAU
Molecule: long non-coding RNA, 1484 nt
Organism: Bombus impatiens (common eastern bumble bee)
Lineage: Eukaryota; Metazoa; Arthropoda; Insecta; Hymenoptera; Apidae
Exons: 3
Source: RefSeq, a predicted model, not a curated record